AUUCUACUCCCUCCGUUACACAAUACAUGCCUUCUAUUUGUCAAAAUAUAUUUGUAUCUAGGCAUGUUUUAAUAUAUAGGUACAUCCAUUUUUGGACAAAUGGAAGUCAAGUAUUUUGGAACGGAGGGAGUACACA
This is a non-coding RNA of Triticum aestivum (bread wheat), 136 nucleotides long. Lineage: Eukaryota; Viridiplantae; Streptophyta; Magnoliopsida; Poales; Poaceae. The record is from Rfam.